CCAGUAGUCAUAUGCUUGUCUCAAAGAUUAAGCCAUGCAUGUCUAAGCACAAGCCCAAGAAUGGUAAAGCCGCGAAUGGCUCAUUACAACAGCCAUAGUUUACUGGAUCUUACUUUCCUACUUGGAUAACUGUGGUAAUUCUAGAGCUAAUACACGCAUUAAAGCUCUGACCUCGCGGGAGGAGCGCAUUUAUUAGAACAAAACCAAUCGGACCUUCGGGUCCGCCCAUUGGUGAAUCUGAAUAACUUUGCCGAUCGCACGGUCUCGCACCGGCGACGUAUCUUUCAAAUGUCUGCCUUAUCAACUUUAGAUGGUAGUUUACACGCCUACCAUGGUUGUAACGGGUAACGGAGAAUAAGGGUUCGACUCCGGAGAGGGAGCCUGAGAAAUGGCUACCACAUCCAAGGAAGGCAGCAGGCACGCAAAUUACCCACUCCCGGCACGGGGAGGUAGUGACGAAAAAUAACGAGGCGGUUCUCUACGAGGCCCGCCAUCGGAAUGGGUACAAUUUAAAUCCUUUAACGAGGAUCUAUUGGAGGGCAAGUCUGGUGCCAGCAGCCGCGGUAAUUCCAGCUCCAAUAGCGUAUAUUAAAGUUGUUGCGGUUAAAAAGCUCGUAGUUGGAUCUGCGGCCGAGGAAGGCGGUCCCCCGUUGGGCGGUUACUGCUUUUCCUGGCCUAACUCUCUGGUUUUCCUUUGGUGCUCUUCACUGAGUGCCACUGGUGGCCAGAACGUUUACUUUGAAAAAAUUAGAGUGCUCAAAGCAGGCUUACUGCCUGAAUAGUGGUGCAUGGAAUAAUGAAAUAGGAUAUUGGUUCUGUUUUAUUGGUCCGGAGCUAAUAUAAUGAUUGAAGGGGACAGACGGGGGCAUUCGUAUUGCGACGUUAGAGGUGAAAUUCUUGGAUCGUCGCAAGACGAGCUACUGCGAAAGCAUUUGCCAAGAAUGUUUUCAUCAAUCAAGAACGAAAGUCUGAGGUUCGAAGGCGAUCAGAUACCGCCCUAGUUCAGACCGUAAACGAU
This 1018-nucleotide ribosomal RNA is filed under the name uncultured eukaryote. RNAcentral's name for it is "SSU rRNA". It matches the Rfam family "Eukaryotic small subunit ribosomal RNA", at positions 17 to 1040 of the family's 1831-position model. The record is from RNAcentral.